RNAcentral lists this ribosomal RNA (492 nucleotides) under uncultured bacterium. Its description in RNAcentral is "partial 16S ribosomal RNA". It matches the Rfam family "Bacterial small subunit ribosomal RNA", at positions 29 to 507 of the family's 1533-position model. The record is from RNAcentral.
AAUGAACGCUGGCGGUAGGCCUAACACAUGCAAGUCGAACGGCAGCACUGUAUGUGUUUGCUCUUACGGUUGGCGAGUGGCGGACGGGUGGGGAAUACAUCCGAAUCUUCUAUUACUUGGGGGAUCACGUAGGGCCACAGACCCUAAUACCCCAUACGACCUACGGGUGAAAGCAGGGGUUCUUCGGACCUUGCUCGAUUGAAUGAGCCGAUGUCGGAUUAGCUAGUUGGCGGGGUAACGGCCCACCCAGGCGACGAUCCGUAGCUGGUCUGAGAGGAUGAUCAGCCACACUGGAACUUAGACACGGUCCAGACUCCUACGGGAGGCAGCAGUGGGGAAUGUUGGACAAUGGGCGCAAGCCUGAUCCAGCCAUACCGCGUGGGUGAAGAAGGCCUUCGGGUUGUAAAGCCCUUUUGUUGGGAAAGAAAAGCAGCAGGUUAAUACCCCGCUGUUCUGACGGUACCCAAAGAAUAAGCACCGGCUAACUUCGUG